AAAAAAGGUAAGCUACUAAGAGCGAAUGGUGGAUGCCUUGACUGGUAAAGGCGAUGAAGGACGUACUAGACUGCGAUAAGCUACGGGGAGCUGUCAAGAAGCUUUGAUCCGUAGAUUUCCGAAUGGGGCAACCCAAUGUAUAGAGAUAUACAUUACCUAUAUAGGAGCGAACGAGGGGAAUUGAAACAUCUUAGUACCCUCAGGAAAAGAAAUCAAUAGAGAUUGCGUCAGUAGCGGCGAGCGAAAGCGCAAGAGGGCAAACCCAGUGCUUGCACUGGGGGUUGUAGGACUGCAAUGUGCAAGAGGUGAGUUUAGCAGAACAUUCUGGAAAGUAUAGCCAUAGAGGGUGAUAGUCCCGUAUGCGAAAAACAAACCUUAGCUAGCAGUAUCCUGAGUAGGGCGGGACACGAGAAAUCCUGUCUGAAGCUGGGUCGACCACGAUCCAACCCUAAAUACUAAUACCAGAUCGAUAGUGCACAAGUACCGUGAGGGAAAGGUGAAAAGAACUGAGGUGAUCAGAGUGAAAUAGAACCUGAAACCAUUUGCUUACAAUCAUUCAGAGCCCUAUGUAGCAAUACAGGGUGAUGGACUGCCUUUUGCAUAAUGAGCCUGCGAGUUGUGGUGUCUGGCAAGGUUAAGCAAACGCGAAGCCGUAGCGAAAGCGAGUCUGAAUAGGGCGCUUAGUCAGAUGCUGCAGACCCGAAACGAAGUGAUCUAUCCAUGAGCAAGUUGAAGCUAGUGUAAGAACUAGUGGAGGACUGAACCCAUAGGCGUUGAAAAGCCCCGGGAUGACUUGUGGAUAGGGGUGAAAGGCCAAUCAAACUUCGUGAUAGCUGGUUCUCUCCGAAAUAUAUUUAGGUAUAGCGUUGUGUCGUAAUAUAAGGGGGUAGAGCACUGAAUGGGCUAGGGCAUACACCAAUGUACCAAACCCUAUCAAACUCCGAAUACCUUAUAUGUAAUCACAGCAGUCAGGCGGCGAGUGAUAAAAUCCGUCGUCAAGAGGGAAACAACCCAGACUACCAGCUAAGGUCCCUAAAUCUUACUUAAGUGGAAAACGAUGUGAAGUUACUUAAACAACCAGGAGGUUGGCUUAGAAGCAGCCAUCCUUUAAAGAAAGCGUAAUAGCUCACUGGUCUAGUGAUUUUGCGCGGAAAAUAUAACGGGGCUAAAGUAAGUACCGAAGCUGUAGACUUGCGCACAACUUAGAUUAUUUAAGUUUAGAAUAUGAGAAACUAAGUUAUAUGUUUAGUUAUAUUUUUACUGAUUUUUAUAGAGUAAAGAUAGAAAUAAAACUUAGUAAAAUCAGUAAAAAUAUUCUUAGACUAAAGUUAAGUAGUUUAAGUUGUGUGCAAGUGGUAGGAGAGCGUUCUAUUUGCGUCGAAGGUAUACCGGUAAGGAGUGCUGGAGCGAAUAGAAGUGAGCAUGCAGGCAUGAGUAGCGAUAAUUAAUGUGAGAAUCAUUAACGCCGUAAACCCAAGGUUUCCUACGCGAUGCUCGUCAUCGUAGGGUUAGUCGGGUCCUAAGUCGAGUCCGAAAGGGGUAGACGAUGGCAAAUUGGUUAAUAUUCCAAUACCAACAUUAGUGUGCGAUGGAAGGACGCUUAGGGCUAAGGGGGCUAGCGGAUGGAAGUGCUAGUCUAAGGUCGUAGGAGGUUAUACAGGCAAAUCCGUAUAACAAUACUCCGAGAACUGAAAGGCUUUUUGAAGUCUUCGGAUGGAUAGAAGAACCCCUGAUGCCAUCGAGCCAAGAAAAGUUUCUAAGUUUAGCUAAUGUUGCCCGUACCGUAAACCGACACAGGUGGGUGGGAUGAGUAUUCUAAGGCGCGUGGAAGAACUCUCUUUAAGGAACUCUGCAAAAUAGCACCGUA
RNAcentral lists this ribosomal RNA (1867 nucleotides) under Campylobacter coli. RNAcentral's name for it is "partial 23S ribosomal RNA". It matches the Rfam family "Bacterial large subunit ribosomal RNA", at positions 1 to 1732 of the family's 2925-position model. The record is from RNAcentral. Lineage: Bacteria; Pseudomonadati; Campylobacterota; Epsilonproteobacteria; Campylobacterales; Campylobacteraceae.